GGGCGGUUAGCUCAGUGGGAGAGCGCAUCCUUCACACGGAUGAGGCCGCAGGUUCGAGCCCUGCACCGCCCACCA
RNAcentral lists this transfer RNA (75 nucleotides) under Pseudomonadota bacterium. Its description in RNAcentral is "tRNA-Val". It matches the Rfam family "tRNA". From Rfam's summary of the family: Transfer RNA (tRNA) molecules are approximately 80 nucleotides in length. Their secondary structure includes four short double-helical elements and three loops (D, anti-codon, and T loops). The record is from RNAcentral. Lineage: Bacteria; Pseudomonadati; Pseudomonadota. RNAcentral also lists the same sequence under 3 other names.